This 493-nucleotide ribosomal RNA is filed under the name uncultured bacterium. Its description in RNAcentral is "partial 16S ribosomal RNA". It matches the Rfam family "Bacterial small subunit ribosomal RNA", at positions 29 to 507 of the family's 1533-position model. The record is from RNAcentral.
ACGAACGCUGGCGGCGUGCUUAACACAUGCAAGUCGAACGGUGAAGCGCCUUCCUUUUUGGUGGGUGUGGAUGAGUGGCGAACGGGUGAGUAACACGUGAGUAACCUGCCCCCUUCUUCUGGAUAACCGCAUGAAAGUGUGGCUAAUACGGGAUAUUCUGGGUCUGUCGCAUGAUGGGUCUGGGAAAGAUAUUGUUUCGGUGGGGGAUGGGCUCGCGGCCUAUCAGCUUGUUGGUGGGGUGAUGGCCUACCAAGGCGGUGACGGGUAGCCGGCCUGAGAGGGUGGACGGUCACACUGGGACUGAGACACGGCCCAGACUCCGACGGGAGGCAGCAGUGGGGAAUAUUGCACAAUGGGCGCAAGCCUGAUGCAGCGACGCCGCGUGAGGGAUGGAGGCCUUCGGGUUGUGAACCUCUUUCGCCAGUGAAGCAGGCCUGCCUCGUUUGUGGGUGGGUUGACGGUAGCUGGAUAAGAAGCGCCGGCUAACUACGUG